UGUUUAUCAAAAACAUGUCUUUUUGAGUUUAUAUAAAGUCGGGCCUGCCCUAUGAAUUUUAAAUGGCCGCAGUAUUUUGACUGUGCAAAGGUAGCAUAAUCAUUAGCUUUUUAAUUGGGAGCUAGUAUGAAUGGUUUGACGAAAGAAGUUCUUUCUUUAAUUUAUUUUGAGAAUUUGAGUUUUAAGUGAAAACGCUUAGAUUUUUUUAUUAGACGAUAAGACCCUAUAGAAUUUUAUUAAACUUUUAUUAUUACAUAUAUUUUUAAUUUGUGGUAAUUGGGAAAAUUUGGUUGGGGCGACCUUUAAAUAUUAUUAACUUUUAAAUUUUUUUUCAUUAAUUUAUGUAUAUUUGAUCCAUAAUUUGUGAUUAUUAGAUUAAAUUACCUUAGGGAUAACAGCGUAAUUUUUUUGGGGAGUUCUUAUCUAUAAAAAAGUUUGCGACCUCGAUGUUGGAUUAAAGUAAGUAUAUGGUGUAGCAGCUAUAAUGACUAAGUCUGUUCGACUUUUAAUUUUUUACA
This 518-nucleotide ribosomal RNA is filed under the name Lipokophila eberhardi. Its description in RNAcentral is "partial 16S ribosomal RNA". It matches the Rfam family "Bacterial large subunit ribosomal RNA", at positions 1801 to 2600 of the family's 2925-position model. The record is from RNAcentral. Lineage: Eukaryota; Metazoa; Arthropoda; Insecta; Hemiptera; Plokiophilidae.